This 206-nucleotide small nucleolar RNA is filed under the name Carlito syrichta (Philippine tarsier). RNAcentral describes it as "Small nucleolar RNA U3 (ENSTSYG00000026919.1)". It matches the Rfam family "Small nucleolar RNA U3". Rfam says of the family: Small nucleolar RNAs (snoRNAs) are involved in the processing and modification of rRNA in the nucleolus. There are two main classes of snoRNAs: the box C/D class, and the box H/ACA class. U3 snoRNA is a member of the box C/D class. Lineage: Eukaryota; Metazoa; Chordata; Mammalia; Primates; Tarsiidae. The record is from RNAcentral.
CAGAACUGUACUUUCAGGGAUCAUUUCUGUACCUCAUUACUAGAGAAGUUCCUCUUAACGUGUGGAGUGCCAGAAACCACAAGGAGGAGAGGCAGUGUUCUUUCCGGAGUGUGAAGCUGGCACUUCGUGUUUUGCUGUAACUGCUGUUUGCCAUUCAUCAUUCUUCUUUUCUUCCAGGAGAGGGAGAGGGAGAGGAUGCUAAAAUA